Molecule: long non-coding RNA, 1298 nt
Filed under: Homo sapiens (human)
Lineage: Eukaryota; Metazoa; Chordata; Mammalia; Primates; Hominidae
Description: HSALNT0299147
Source: RNAcentral
CAGAAAGCCGACUCCUAAAGGAGGCUGGUGUUGAGCCAGGCCCUUAUAUAACACACCUACUUGCUAUAAACAAGAGCACCAGAGAAAGGUUUCCAAUUGGAUUGAAAGUGUUCCCCCUUUUGUCUGCAGUUUGGACAACUUCAAGGCUGUAAAGAUGAGUCUACCCCACAUAUAUUAUUGUCCUUACAUGUUCUCUCCCUUUUUGUUCUCUCCCUUCUAACUCAACCUUCAACUCCCUAUCGUGGAAGGAAAUAUAGUUGUUGUGUGUGUGCAUGUGUGUGUGUGCCUGCGUGCAUGCAUGUAUGUGUGAAUGUGUGCGUGUGCGUGUGUGUUUCUCAGCAUAAUCCGCUUUAGCAGGCUGCUAGAUCUGACCAGUAGCAGCAGCUGUGGCAGCUGCAGCAGUGGCUGAUUGCACUGGAAGGGCAUGGAUAAGCCUGUUUGAUGGAACCAAGAAGGAAGGCAUUUAAAACCUUCAUGUCUUUCUACUGCUCUUUGCAAGCCCUCAUUAGCUUCACUAGAGGGAAAACUUAUCUUGUAGGGUUCAGUCGCUGUCUUCCUCUGGGCACACAGCACAAUCAGGAGGGAUUUCCAUUCAAAAUAAAGGAGGUGGAGUUGGAUUUUUAAAAAGAGAGAAAGGGAGAAGAGCAUACUCUCUCUCAUCUGCUGAAACUCACUGAGCCAGGUGACCUCCUGAAAAGGGUUUUUGAAGGCGUCUCUCAUAAGAUGGCAUUUGAGCAGAGACCUGAGGAAGUGAAAGAUGGAGGGCUGAAGCUUCCAGUUAGAGGAACAAGCAAAGACCCCGAGCAGGAUCAGGAAAGUGUGGUAGAGACAUAAUCAAAGAUUCAGACAAAGAUAUAACUACAGAAUGCACAUGACGGUUUUGUUAAUACACCAAAAGGAAAAAAAUUAAAUAACGGACUCUCCCAAUAAAUUGUGACCAUCUAUAGUUUGGAAUAACAUGAAGAUUGUUAAAAACUAUGUUUACAAGAAUGGCAAUAACAGAGAAACACUUGCUAUAUAAUUUUCACAAUAACAAGGUGAAGAAAUAUUAUAUAUAUAUAUAAUAAAAUUCAAAUUUUUAAGAGAAAUUAAAAUGUAUAGAAAACAUUGGAAAAGGAUACACUUAAUAAUCUUUUUUUCAGCAUGGUAGAAUUGUGGGUGAUUUUUGUUCCCUUUAUAUUUUUUAAUACUUUGUACUUUUUAAUGACAAAUGUAUAUACUACCAUUUAAUGAUAAAAAUAUAUUUUUAAAAUACUGGAUAAGAAUUAUUCAAAUAAAUGCCUUAUUUAAAAGUUAAA